GACGAACGCUGGCGGCGUGCUUAACACAUGCAAGUCGAACGGACUACUUUGCUUCGGUAAGGUGGUUAGUGGCAAACGGGUGAGUAACGCGUAGACAACCUACCUCUUAGAUGGGGACAACAUCGCGAAAGCGGUGCUAAUACCGAAUGAAGUGACUUUCCUGCAUGGGAGAGAUACCAAAGGUGGCCUCUAUUUAUAAGCUACCACUGAGAGAUGGGCCUGCGUCUGAUUAGCUAGUUGGCGGGGUAACGGCCCACCAAGGCGACGAUCAGUAGCCGGUCUGAGAGGAUGAACGGCCACAUUGGGACUGAGACACGGCCCAAACUCCUACGGGAGGCAGCAGUGGGGAAUCUUCCGCAAUGGACGAAAGUCUGACGGAGCAACGCCGCGUGAGUGAAGAAGGUUUUCGGAUCGUAAAGCUCUGUUGUUUGAGACGAAUGUGCCUGUUUCGAAUAGGGAUAGGUAAUGACGGUAUUAAACGAGAAAGCCACGGCUAACUACGUGCCAGCCGCCGCCGUAA
Molecule: ribosomal RNA, 520 nt
Filed under: uncultured bacterium
Lineage: Bacteria
Description: partial 16S ribosomal RNA
Rfam family: Bacterial small subunit ribosomal RNA
Source: RNAcentral